CUACGUGCCAGCAGCCGCGGUAAUACGGGGGGUGCGAGCGUUAAUCGGAAUAACUGGGCGUAAAGGGCACGCAGGCGGUGACUUAAGUGAGAUGUGAAAGCCCCGAGCUUAACUUGGGAAUUGCAUUUCAUACUGGGUCGCUAGAGUACUUUAGGGAGGGGUAGAAUUCCACGUGUAGCGGUGAAAUGCGUAGAGAUGUGGAGGAAUACCGAAGGCGAAGGCAGCCCCUUGGGAAUGUACUGACGCUCAUGUGCGAAAGCGUGGGGAGCAAACAGGAUUAGAUACCCUGGUAGUCCACGCUGUAAACGAUGUCGAUUUGGGGAUUGGGCUUUGAGCUUGGUGCCCGUAGCUAACGUGAUAAAUCGACCGCCUGGGGAGUACGGCCGCAAGGUUAAAACUCAAAUGAAUUGACGGGGGCCCGCACAAGCGGUGGAGCAUGUGGUUUAAUUCGAUGCAACGCGAAGAACCUUACCUACUCUUGACAUCCAUGGAAUCUUGUAGAGAUACGAGAGUGC
Molecule: ribosomal RNA, 515 nt
Filed under: uncultured bacterium
Lineage: Bacteria
Description: bacterial SSU rRNA
Rfam family: Bacterial small subunit ribosomal RNA
Source: RNAcentral